This 399-nucleotide ribosomal RNA is filed under the name uncultured bacterium. RNAcentral's name for it is "bacterial SSU rRNA". It matches the Rfam family "Bacterial small subunit ribosomal RNA", at positions 64 to 507 of the family's 1533-position model. The record is from RNAcentral.
GAGCGCUCGUAGCAAUACGGGAGCGGCAGACGGGAGAGUAACACGUGGGAACGUACCCUUCGGUUCGGAAUAACCCAGGGAAACUUGGGCUAAUACCGGAUACGUCCGUAAGGAGAAAGAUUUAUUGCCGAAGGAUCGGCCCGCGUCCGAUUAGCUAGUUGGUGAGGUAACUGCUCACCAAGGCAACGAUCCAUAGCUGGUCUGAGAGGACGAUCAGCCUCACUGGGACUGAGACACGGCCCAGACUCCUACGGGAGGCAGCAGUGGGGAAUAAUGGACAAUGGGGGCAACCCUGAUCCUGCCAAGCCGCGUGAAUGAUGAAGGCCUUCGGGUUGUAAAGUUCUUUUGGUAGGGACGAUGAUGACGGUACCUACAGAAUAAGCUCCGGCUAACUUCGUG